RNAcentral lists this ribosomal RNA (254 nucleotides) under uncultured bacterium. Its description in RNAcentral is "partial 16S ribosomal RNA". It matches the Rfam family "Bacterial small subunit ribosomal RNA", at positions 524 to 776 of the family's 1533-position model. The record is from RNAcentral.
GACGGAGGGUGCAAACGUUGUUCGGAAUCACUGGGCGUAAAGGGUCCGUAGGCGGCUCAGCAAGUCAGGUGUGAAAUCUCCAGGCUCAACCUGGAGGGGCCACCUGAUACUGCUGUGGCUUGAGUCCAGUAGGGGAGCAUGGAAUUCCCGGUGUAGCGGUGAAAUGCGCAGAUAUCGGGAGGAACACCAGUGGCGAAGGCGGUGCUCUGGGCUGGAACUGACGCUGAUGGACGAAAGCGUGGGUAGCAAACAGG